This 253-nucleotide ribosomal RNA is filed under the name uncultured bacterium. RNAcentral's name for it is "partial 16S ribosomal RNA". It matches the Rfam family "Bacterial small subunit ribosomal RNA", at positions 524 to 776 of the family's 1533-position model. The record is from RNAcentral.
UACGUAGGGCGCAAGCGUUAUCCGGAAUUAUUGGGCGUAAAGAGCUCGUAGGCGGCUUGUCGCGUCGGCUGUGAAAACUCGGGGCUCAACCCCGAGCCUGCAGUCGAUACGGGCAGGCUAGAGUCCGGCAGGGGAGACUGGAAUUCCUGGUGUAGCGGUGAAAUGCGCAGAUAUCAGGAGGAACACCGGUGGCGAAGGCGGGUCUCUGGGCCGGAACUGACGCUAAGGAGCGAAAGCGUGGGGAGCGAACAGG